AUGCAUGGGGCUCCUGGAACCAAUGCCCCCUCAGAUACCAAGGGCUGGGUGUUACCUGAAACCCCCCACGUGUGAAAAUUUGAGGCACUGUCAGAAGCUGGUGCUGGAGAAGACUCUUGAGAGUCCCUUGGACUGCAAGGAUAUCAAACCAGUCACUCCUAAAGGAAAUCAACCCUGAAUAUUCAUUGGAAGAGAGAAAAUUGGAAGAUGCCAAAGCUGAAGCUCCAAUACUUUGGCCACCUGAUGCAAAGAGCCAACUCAUUGGAAAAGAAUUUGAUGCUGGGAAAGAUUGAAGUCAAAAAGAGAAGGGGACAACAGAGGAUGAGAUGGUUGGAUGGCAUCACCCACUCAAUGGACAUGAAUUUGAGUAAUCUCCAGGAGAUAGUGGAGGACAGAGGAGCCUGCAGCCUGGCUGCAGUCCAUGGGGUCAUAAAGAAUCAGACAUGACUUUGUGACUGAACAACAACAAUAUAUUUCAAGUCAAUGGUGAAAAUUUUGUAACCACACAAUUUGUUGGUUUAGUCAAUGUAAUUAAAAUAUUUCAAGGACUUCCCUGGAGGUUCAAUAGUUAAGAUUCUGUUUUCAAUACAGGGGGCUCAGGUUUAAGCUCUGGUCUGGGAACUAAUAGCCCACAUACUGUCUGGCAC
This is a long non-coding RNA of Bos taurus (domestic cattle), 647 nucleotides long. The record is from Ensembl. NCBI's taxonomy places the organism in Eukaryota, Metazoa, Chordata, Mammalia, Artiodactyla, Bovidae.